UGCCGGGUCCCAUACAAUGGCUUUGAUGACGAAUCCCGCUAGGUCCGGAAGGAAGCAACGGUACUCGUCGAACCAUGUGAUAUGGGGUGCUCGGCAUUU
This 99-nucleotide signal recognition particle RNA is filed under the name Bdellovibrio sp. 28-41-41. RNAcentral describes it as "signal recognition particle sRNA small type". It matches the Rfam family "Bacterial small signal recognition particle RNA". From Rfam's summary of the family: The signal recognition particle (SRP) is a universally conserved ribonucleoprotein involved in the co-translational targeting of proteins to membranes. Archaeal SRP consists of a 7S RNA and homologues of the eukaryotic SRP19 and SRP54 proteins. Lineage: Bacteria; Pseudomonadati; Bdellovibrionota; Bdellovibrionia; Bdellovibrionales; Pseudobdellovibrionaceae. The record is from RNAcentral.